Phragmites australis (common reed) is the source of this 139-nucleotide small nucleolar RNA. RefSeq annotates it as small nucleolar RNA Z247. The record is from RefSeq and is a predicted model, not a curated record. The transcript has a single exon. NCBI's taxonomy places the organism in Eukaryota, Viridiplantae, Streptophyta, Magnoliopsida, Poales, Poaceae.
CCUCUCAGCAAUGAUGAAAUUAUCGCGUACCUCCUGGCGGGUCUCGGAUCGGACUACGAUUCGUUUGUGACCUCCAUGACGACCAAGACCGAAGCCCUCUCCCUCGACGACGUCUACGCCUACCUCCUCGCCUUUGAGU